RNAcentral lists this long non-coding RNA (457 nucleotides) under Mytilus galloprovincialis (Mediterranean mussel). The record is from RNAcentral. Lineage: Eukaryota; Metazoa; Mollusca; Bivalvia; Mytilida; Mytilidae.
GUACGGAUUGAUAGUUUAGUCUUAGUUGCAUGAUUUUUUUAUUAGUUGUUAGUGGCUUUGAACUAGCUGUCAGAUAACUGCGAGUACUCUCAGAUCUGUUCAUUGUGUCUUUUUGUGUCGGGAUGUAUAAGUACCGGGCCACGUCCACUUGUAUUUUUGUCCAUCUGAUGAGUUAAGCCUUUUUCAACUGAUUUUUAUAGUUCGUUCUUAUGUUGUACUGUUAUACCACUGUCCCAGGUUAGGGGAGGGUUGGGAUCCCGCUAACAUGUUUAACCCCGCCACAUUAUUUAUGUAUGUGCCUGUCCCAAGUCAGGAGCCUGUAAUUCAGUGGUUGUCGUUUGUUUAUGUGUUACAUAUUUGUUUUUCGUUCAUUUUUUUACAUAAAUAAGGCCGUUAGUUUUUCUUGUUUGAAUUGUUUUACAUUGUCUUAUCGGGGCCUUUUAUAGCUCACUAUGCG